GAUAUUGGCCUCUCCCCCACCCCCUGUGGCGUCCACCCCUCUGCCCCAAAGACCAUCUAAGUCCAGAACCUUUAAAUAUACCAUAGAAAUUCAGAAAACACAACCUUCUUUACCAGUUUUAGAACUCUCACCCGUACUUCCCAUCACCUCUAGUACACAUGCCCAUUACCCAUCAUUUUCUUUGAUUUGUCCACAGCAAUCAAUUGAAGCUAACGCACCUCCAUCUACAGCCAUAGGCUCUGAUGGCACCAAAAUAAAAAACUCUGCUGCUGUACGGGAGGUUGGGGUUCAGGUCCAUGUCCAACCCCAGAUCCUACUGGUGGGGUGGCUGGGACAGUAGAGCAUUCGACUUCUCUUGAUCCGAUCACCUCUGAAAAAGAAAAAAAUAUCCCCAACAUACCACCAAAGGAGGGCACUCCUAACAUGAUGAGUGGGACUCCAAAGGCCAACAUGGCCACUCAGAGAGACCAGUCUGAGCCCUCCUU
Scatophagus argus is the source of this 485-nucleotide long non-coding RNA. RefSeq lists it as uncharacterized. The record is from RefSeq and is a predicted model, not a curated record. The transcript has 2 exons. Lineage: Eukaryota; Metazoa; Chordata; Actinopteri; Scatophagidae.